CGCAUCUGUGCAUGCAGCAUAUCAAUAAGCGGAGGAAAAGUAAGUGCUGUAUACCUACGCUUAGGAUGUUGAAGAUGUAGCACAUCAUACACGCAUGACACACUGCAUAUCAAUAAGCGGAGGAAAAGUACCUACGCUUAGGAUGUUGAAGAUGUAGCACAUCAUACACGCAUGACACACUGCAUAUCAAUAAGCGGAGGAAAAGAGGGCUAUUACCUACGCUUAGGAUGUUGAAGAUGUAGCACAUCAUACACGCAUGACACACUGCAUAUUAAUAAGCGGAGGAAAAGAAACUAACAAGGAUUCCCCUAGUAACGGCGAGUGAAGCGGGAAGAGCUCAAAUUUGAAAUCUUAAAGGGUUUCCCUUUACGAAUUGUAGUUUAAAGAAGUGUUUUCUGUUGAGGUUUUGGUAAAAGUUCUUUGGAAUAGGACAUCAUAGAGGGUGAGAAUCCCGUAUUUGACCUUUACUUUUCAACUUUGUGAUACACUUUCAAAGAGUCGGAUUGUUUGGGAAUGCAGUCCAAAAUGGGUGGUAAAUUUCAUCUAAAGCUAAAUAUUGGCGAGAGACCGAUAGCGAACAAGUACCGUGAGGGAAAGAUGAAAAGAACUUUGAAAGGAGAGUUAAACAGUACGUGAAAUUGUCAAAAGGGUAGCGUUUGACACCAGUGUUGUUUUUCUGAAAAUCAAUUAAAGAACUGUUUAUGCUAAGUUGUUUAGACUUUAUCAGCUAUCUGCUUAGUUUUGAGCUUUUCUUUAAUGCACUUUUCAGUUAACAAGUCAACAUCAAUUUCUUUUGCUGUAAAAAAGCUUGAGGAAGGUGGCUUGAGAUUCGUCUUAAGUGUUUAUAGCCUCUUGCCUAUGCAGUCGGAGAGAUUGAGGUCUGCAGCGUAGAUCCUUCGGGGCUAAAUGCAUUUGUGCUAAGUUAUAGCAUUUUAUAGACAACUUGUUGACUAUGAUUUGUCUUGUAGCUUACUCGCUUAUGUUAUUUUACCUACGCUUAGGAUGUUGAAGAUGUAGCACAUCA
Molecule: ribosomal RNA, 1024 nt
Filed under: uncultured Neocallimastigales
Lineage: Eukaryota; Fungi; Neocallimastigomycota; Neocallimastigomycetes; Neocallimastigales
Description: partial large subunit ribosomal RNA
Rfam family: Eukaryotic large subunit ribosomal RNA (bases 241-1024)
Source: RNAcentral